GACGAACGCUGGCGGCGUGCUUAACACAUGCAAGUCGAACGGUAAGGCCUUCGGGUACACGAGUGGCGAACGGGUGAGUAACACGUGGGUGAUCUGCCCUGCACUUUGGGAUAAGCCUGGGAAACUGGGUCUAAUACCGAAUACACCCUGCUGGCUGCAUGGCCUGGUGGGGGAAAGCUUUUGCGGUGUGGGAUGGGCCCGCGGCCUAUCAGCUUGUUGGUGGGGUGAUGGCCGACCAAGGCGACGACGGGUAGCCGGCCUGAGAGGGUGACCGGCAACACUGGGACUGAGAUACGGCCCAGACUCCUACGGGAGGCAGCAGUGGGGAAUAUUGCACAAUGGGCGCAAGCCUGAUGCAGCGACGCCGCGUGGGGGAUGACGGCCUUCGGGUUGUAAACCUCUUUCAGUGCCGACGAAGCGCAAGUGACGGUAGGCACAGAAGAAGGACCGGCCAACUACGUGCCAGCAGCCGCGGUAA
This 478-nucleotide ribosomal RNA is filed under the name uncultured bacterium. RNAcentral describes it as "partial 16S ribosomal RNA". It matches the Rfam family "Bacterial small subunit ribosomal RNA", at positions 28 to 523 of the family's 1533-position model. The record is from RNAcentral.